CGGAAUGUAGCUCAGCUUGGUAGAGCACUUGGUUUGGGACCAAGGGGUCGUAGGUUCGAAUCCUGUCAUUCCGAUCA
RNAcentral lists this transfer RNA (77 nucleotides) under Lysinibacillus sphaericus. RNAcentral's name for it is "tRNA-Pro". It matches the Rfam family "tRNA". From Rfam's summary of the family: Transfer RNA (tRNA) molecules are approximately 80 nucleotides in length. RNAcentral also lists the same sequence under 6 other names. Lineage: Bacteria; Bacillati; Bacillota; Bacilli; Caryophanales; Bacillaceae. The record is from RNAcentral.